AAACUUUCAACAACGGAUCUCUUGGCUCUGGCAUCGAUGAAGAACGCAGCGAAACGCGAUAAGUAAUGUGAAUUGCAGAAUCCAGUGAAUCAUCGAAUCUUUGAACGCACAUUGCGCCCGCCAGCAUUCUGGCGGGCAUGCCUGUUCGAGCGUCAUUAC
RNAcentral lists this ribosomal RNA (159 nucleotides) under Beauveria vermiconia. RNAcentral's name for it is "5.8S ribosomal RNA". It matches the Rfam family "5.8S ribosomal RNA". From Rfam's summary of the family: 5.8S ribosomal RNA (5.8S rRNA) is a component of the large subunit of the eukaryotic ribosome. It is transcribed by RNA polymerase I as part of the 45S precursor that also contains 18S and 28S rRNA. Functionally, it is thought that 5.8S rRNA may be involved in ribosome translocation. The record is from RNAcentral. RNAcentral also lists the same sequence under 2 other names. Lineage: Eukaryota; Fungi; Ascomycota; Sordariomycetes; Hypocreales; Cordycipitaceae.